AGUAAGGUAAGCUAAAUUAAGCUAUCGGGCCCAUACCCCGAAAAUGUCGGUUGAUACCUUCCCCUACUG
This 69-nucleotide transfer RNA is filed under the name Neomys fodiens (Eurasian water shrew). RNAcentral describes it as "tRNA-Met". The record is from RNAcentral. Lineage: Eukaryota; Metazoa; Chordata; Mammalia; Eulipotyphla; Soricidae.